This 331-nucleotide long non-coding RNA is filed under the name Arabidopsis lyrata. RNAcentral's name for it is "long non-coding RNA (ALYR_LNC000831)". The record is from RNAcentral. Lineage: Eukaryota; Viridiplantae; Streptophyta; Magnoliopsida; Brassicales; Brassicaceae.
CCCCCUUGACCUAUUGGUUGACCAAGGAUUGAUUAAUGCUUCUACAUCAAAAGGUCUGGGGUUCGAAUCCCAGGUAUUGCGAUUUAUUAACAAAUUUGCAGAUUAAUGGAAGCAAGUGUGCAAGAGAUCUCCAGCGAUGUACAAUUAUAGCCGUUCGCCAGGAUUCUACGCAGAGAAUGAAGUGUCGCCAGAUUGUGGAUCAUUGAAGGUAUUCAUCAAUAUUACGAAGAAGGAAGUGUAGUCUGUCGUGAAUCUAGUAAGGGUCGGAAGGAAUUGUCAGUUGUAAAAUCGUCUAUGUAACAGUUCUCAUAAUUUGCAAUUAAUAAUAAAU